RNAcentral lists this ribosomal RNA (253 nucleotides) under uncultured bacterium. RNAcentral describes it as "partial 16S ribosomal RNA". It matches the Rfam family "Bacterial small subunit ribosomal RNA", at positions 524 to 776 of the family's 1533-position model. The record is from RNAcentral.
UACGGAGGGUGCAAGCGUUAAUCGGAAUUACUGGGCGUAAAGCGUGCGUAGGCGGUUCGUUAAGUCUGUUGUGAAAGCCCCGGGCUCAACCUGGGAAUGGCAAUGGAUACUGGCGAGCUAGAGUGUGUCAGAGGAUGGUGGAAUUCCCGGUGUAGCGGUGAAAUGCGUAGAGAUCGGGAAGAACACCCGUGGCGAAGGCGGCACUCUGGGACGGUACUGACGCUGAGGAGCGAAAGCAUGGGGAGCGAACAGG